AGUGGUUUAGUGUUUGGUUGCUAACCAAAAGGUUGGUGGUUGGAACCCACCAGCCACUC
RNAcentral lists this transfer RNA (59 nucleotides) under Loxodonta africana (African savanna elephant). It matches the Rfam family "tRNA", at positions 14 to 71 of the family's 71-position model. From Rfam's summary of the family: Transfer RNA (tRNA) molecules are approximately 80 nucleotides in length. The record is from Rfam by way of RNAcentral. Lineage: Eukaryota; Metazoa; Chordata; Mammalia; Proboscidea; Elephantidae.